RNAcentral lists this non-coding RNA (58 nucleotides) under Homo sapiens (human). The record is from RNAcentral. Lineage: Eukaryota; Metazoa; Chordata; Mammalia; Primates; Hominidae.
ACCCUCAGUCCGUAUUGGUCUCUAUGGCAUCCAUAGAGGCCAUUCGGCUCUGAGGUCC